This 318-nucleotide small nuclear RNA is filed under the name Meriones unguiculatus (Mongolian gerbil). Its description in RNAcentral is "7SK RNA (ENSMUGG00000001754.1)". It matches the Rfam family "7SK RNA", at positions 50 to 301 of the family's 331-position model. From Rfam's summary of the family: 7SK was discovered as an abundant small nuclear RNA in the mid-70s but a possible function has only recently been suggested. Two independent studies have found that 7SK RNA binds the CDK9/cyclin T complex (known as elongation factor P-TEFb). P-TEFb activates transcription by phosphorylating the C-terminal domain of RNA polymerase II. Lineage: Eukaryota; Metazoa; Chordata; Mammalia; Rodentia; Muridae. The record is from RNAcentral.
GGGUUGAUUCGGCUGAUCUGGCUGGCUAGGCGGGUGUCCCCUUCCUCCCUCACCGCUCCAUGUGCGUCCCUCCCGAAGCUGCGCGCUCGGUCGAAGAGGACGACCUUCCCCGAAUAGAGGAGGACCGGUCUUCGGUCAAGGGUAUACGAGUAGCUGCGCUCCCCUGCUAGAACCUCCAAACAAGCUCAAGGUCCAAAUGGACUGUUUUUAAUGAGAGAAUGAGACCUUUGAGCUGUGGUAAGGAAGGAGCACCUUGGCAAAGCACCCUUAGUAGUAAGAGGGAAAGAAAAAAGGCUGACUAUCUUUUACUCUAUCUUG